RNAcentral lists this ribosomal RNA (322 nucleotides) under uncultured Bacillota bacterium. Its description in RNAcentral is "bacterial SSU rRNA". It matches the Rfam family "Bacterial small subunit ribosomal RNA", at positions 28 to 351 of the family's 1533-position model. The record is from RNAcentral. Lineage: Bacteria; Bacillati; Bacillota.
GACGAACGCUGGCGGCGUGCCUAACACAUGCAAGUCGAGCGAGAUGAACCCUUCGGGGUGAUUCUAGCGGCGGACGGGUGAGUAACACGUGGGUAACCUGCCUCAAAGAGGGGGAUAGCCUCCCGAAAGGGAGAUUAAUACCGCAUAACAUUAUUUCUUCGCAUGAAGAGAUAAUCAAAGGAGUAAUCCGCUUUGAGAUGGACCCGCGGCGCAUUAGCUAGUUGGUGAGGUAAUGGCUCACCAAGGCGACGAUGCGUAGCCGACCUGAGAGGUGAUCGGCCACAUUGGAACUGAGAUACGGUCCAGACUCCUACGGAGGCUG